This 1016-nucleotide long non-coding RNA is filed under the name Prunus persica (peach). Its description in RNAcentral is "long non-coding RNA (PPER_LNC001782)". The record is from RNAcentral. Lineage: Eukaryota; Viridiplantae; Streptophyta; Magnoliopsida; Rosales; Rosaceae.
GCACAUAAAGAAAUUUGAAGAAAUUUGAUAAAAAUGAAAUUACAAGGAUAAAAUUAACAAAAUUAAAACUUUAGAGACCAAAAUAGUACAAUCGACAAACUACAGGACCGAAAGUACACUUUUGCCAAAUCUAACAACGCUAUGCUCGUUUGAAAUCUCGGCCGAUCAAAAGCAACGACUUCUUCCAUGAAAAAAUGAGACAGUCGAGAAAUUAUCAUUGACGGCGUCGCCACCCCACCUUCGCCCCUCAACCACCGCCAACCACAACCCACACAUACUCUCUCUCUCUCUCUCUCUCUCUCUCCAGGUGAGCUCUUACAUCUUCCUCCUCACCUUUCUCUUUUCGAUAGAAUUUUCUGUUUACAGGCUGUGCUUUUGAUUUGGGGGUCUUUGGAGGUUGGUUUUUGGUUACUAAUUUUCGGUUUCAGGGUUUUUGGAUGUUUUUUUUCGGUUACUAAUUAGAUAGGACUGUGAUAAAUUGAACCUGAAGCCCAUGUUUGGUUAGAAAGGGGACUAAUUUAAAUGGGAUUGUAUACAGAGAAAUAAGCGCUUCGCUAUAUUGAACACGCGACUCCGCCUCUCUCUCUGGUUCGCGACUUCGCCCUCUCUCUCGUUCGCGACUCCACCUCUUCUUCGUUCAACAUCGACUCCUCUUCUUCGAAUCUUGACCCAGGCAAGUUUUUCUGGUCUUUCCCUUUGUUUACCUCUCUUUUCCUUCUUCCACCUCUUUGAUUUUUGCAAUUAUCCUCAACAAUUUUGACUGUGUGCUCUGAAUCUCUCCUUCCUUUUCUCUGUUUUUUGCUUCUUCUCUUCUCUAAUUUUCGUGGAAUCCAUAUCUACUGUAGCGACAUAUAUAUGGGUACUGGCUUAUUGUUGGAUGUGUGUUUGUAUCCAUCUUCUAAUAAUGAAAUCUGUUUCGACUUUUACUUCAGUUCUUCUCCUUUUUUUGUUUUUUGUUUUUGUGGAAUGGGUGGAUGCUGAUGGAAGCUGAGCUUUUCAGUUAUGGCUACUACUUC